CAGCGCCACGGUAAUACGGAGGGUGCAAGCGUUAAUCGGAAUUACUGGGCGUAAAGCGCACGCAGGCGGUCUGACAAGUCAGAUGUGAAAUCCCCGGGCUUAACCUGGGAACUGCAUUUGAAACUGUCAGGCUGGAGUCUUGUAGAGGGGGGUAGAAUUCCAGGUGUAGCGGUGAAAUGCGUAGAGAUCUGGAGGAAUACCGGUGGCGAAGGCGGCCCCCUGGACAAAGACUGACGCUCAGGUGCGAAAGCGUGGGGAGCAAACAGGAUUAGAUACCCGGGUAGUCCCUGUCUCUUAUACC
Molecule: ribosomal RNA, 301 nt
Filed under: uncultured bacterium
Lineage: Bacteria
Description: partial 16S ribosomal RNA
Rfam family: Bacterial small subunit ribosomal RNA
Source: RNAcentral